AUUGAACGCUGGCGGCAUGCCUUACACAUGCAAGUCGAACGGCAGCGCGGGAGCAAUCCUGGCGGCGAGUGGCGAACGGGUGAGUAAUAUAUCGGAACGUGCCCAGUAGUGGGGGAUAGCCCGGCGAAAGCCGGAUUAAUACCGCAUACGACCUGAGGGUGAAAGCGGGGGAUCGCAAGACCUCGCGCUACUGGAGCGGCCGAUAUCAGAUUAGCUAGUUGGUGGGGUAAAGGCCUACCAAGGCAACGAUCUGUAGUUGGUCUGAGAGGACGACCAGCCACACUGGGACUGAGACACGGCCCAGACUCCUACGGGAGGCAGCAGUGGGGAAUUUUGGACAAUGGGCGCAAGCCUGAUCCAGCAAUGCCGCGUGCAGGAAGAAGGCCUUCGGGUUGUAAACUGCUUUUGUCAGGGAAGAAAUCUUCUGGGCUAAUAUCCCGGGAGGAUGACGUACCUGAAGAAUAAGCACCGCA
Molecule: ribosomal RNA, 473 nt
Filed under: Leptothrix sp. oral taxon 025
Lineage: Bacteria; Pseudomonadati; Pseudomonadota; Betaproteobacteria; Burkholderiales; Sphaerotilaceae
Description: bacterial SSU rRNA
Rfam family: Bacterial small subunit ribosomal RNA
Source: RNAcentral